RNAcentral lists this unclassified non-coding RNA (253 nucleotides) under uncultured Pseudobdellovibrionaceae bacterium. RNAcentral's name for it is "uncultured Bdellovibrionaceae bacterium contains 16S-23S intergenic spacer region". It matches the Rfam family "Bacterial small subunit ribosomal RNA", at positions 524 to 776 of the family's 1533-position model. The record is from RNAcentral. Lineage: Bacteria; Pseudomonadati; Bdellovibrionota; Bdellovibrionia; Bdellovibrionales; Pseudobdellovibrionaceae.
UACGGAGGGUGCAAGCGUUGCUCGGAAUUACUGGGCGUAAAGCGUACGCAGGCUGUUCGUCAAGUCGGGUGUGAAAUCCCGGGGCUCAACCCCGGAAUUGCGCCCGAAACUGGCGAGCUUGAGUGCGGGAGAGGGAAGCGGAAUUCCUGGUGUAGAGGUGAAAUUCGUAGAUAUCAGGAGGAACACCGGUGGCGAAAGCGGCUUCCUGGCCCGACACUGACGCUCAUGUACGAAAGCGUGGGGAGCAAACAGG